CAAAGGCUUGGUCCUGACUUUACCAUCCGCUUUGGCUCAAUUUAUACAUGCAAGUAUCCGCGCCCCCGUGAGAAUGCCCUCAACCCCUCUGACCGAGGGAGAGGAGCAGGCAUCAGGCACACAUAACUUCUGCCCAAGACGCCUUGCUACGCCACACCCCCAAGGGACUUCAGCAGUAAUAAAUAUUAAGCUAUGAGUGAAAACUCGACUUAGUUAAGGCUAUAAGGGUCGGUAAAAUUCGUGCCAGCCACCGCGGUUAUACGAAAGACCCUAGUUGAUGGAUCACGGCGAAAAGGGUGGUUAAGGGGCCCAAAAACUAAAGCUAAAAAUCCUCUUAGCUGUCAUACGCUUCCCGAAGACAUGAAGCCCAAUCACGAAAGUAGCUUUACACCACCCUGACACCACGAAAGCCAAGAAACAAACUGGGAUUAGAUACCCCACUAUGCUUGGCCCUAAACCAAGAUGCACUUUUCCAUAUGCAUCCGCCCGGGUACUCGAGCACAGCUUAAAACCCAAAGGACUUGGCGGUGUCUCAGACCCACCUAGAGGAGCCUGUUCUAGAACCGAUAACCCUCGUUUAACCUCACCACUCCUUGUUUUUUCCGCCUAUAUCCGCCCGUCGCCAGCUUACCCUGUGAAGGCUCAACAGUAAGCAAAAUGGGCAAACCCAAAAACGUCAGGUCAAGGUGUAGCAUACGGAGUGGGAAGAAAUGGGCUACAUUUUCUCACAGAAUAUUCGAAUGAUAUUUUGAAAAAAAUGUCUGAAGGUGGAUUUAGUAGUAAAAAGUAAACAGAGUGUCCUUUUGAACUAGGCUCUGAGACGCGCACACACCGCCCGUCACUCUCCCCAACUAAUAAUACAACAUCCAUAAUAACACAAAUAAUACUUCGGGGAGGCAAGUCGUAACAUGGUAAGUGUACCGGAAGGUGCACUUGGAAUAA
Molecule: non-coding RNA, 942 nt
Filed under: Anduzedoras oxyrhynchus
Lineage: Eukaryota; Metazoa; Chordata; Actinopteri; Siluriformes; Doradidae
Description: partial 12S ribosomal RNA
Rfam family: Bacterial small subunit ribosomal RNA
Source: RNAcentral